UGGGGAAUAUUGCACAAUGGGCGCAAGCCUGAUGCAGCAACGCCGCGUGAACGAUGAAGGUCUUCGGAUCGUAAAGUUCUGUUGCAGGGGAAGAUAAUGACGGUACCCUGUGAGGAAGCCCCGGCUAACUACGUGCCAGCAGCCGCGGUAAUACGUAGGGGGCUAGCGUUAUCCGGAUUUACUGGGCGUAAAGGGUGCGUAGGUGGUCUUUCAAGUCGGUGGUUAAAGGCUACGGCUCAACCGUAGUUAGCCUCCGAAACUGGAAGACUUGAGUGCAGGAGAGGAAAGUGGAAGUCCCAGUGUAGCGGUGAAAUGCGUAGAUAUUGGGAGGAACGCCAGUAGCGAAGGCGGCUUUCUGGACUGCAACUGACACUGAGGCACGAAAGCGUGGGUAGCAAACAGG
Molecule: ribosomal RNA, 403 nt
Filed under: Verrucomicrobiota bacterium
Lineage: Bacteria; Pseudomonadati; Verrucomicrobiota
Description: Verrucomicrobia bacterium partial 16S ribosomal RNA
Rfam family: Bacterial small subunit ribosomal RNA
Source: RNAcentral